UCAGGCCUAACACAUGCAAGUCGAACGGCAGCACGGACUUCGGUCUGGUGGCGAGUGGCGAACGGGUGAGUAAUACAUCGGAACGUGCCCAGUCGUGGGGGAUAACGUAGCGAAAGCUACGCUAAUACCGCAUACGAUCUAAGGAUGAAAGCGGGGGAUCGCAAGACCUCGCGCGAUUGGAGCGGCCGAUGGCAGAUUAGGUAGUUGGUGGGGUAAAGGCUCACCAAGCCGACGAUCUGUAGCUGGUCUGAGAGGACGACCAGCCACACUGGGACUGAGACACGGCCCAGACUCCUACGGGAGGCAGCAGUGGGGAAUUUUGGACAAUGGGCGCAAGCCUGAUCCAGCCAAGCCGCGUGCAGGAUGAAGGCCCUCGGGUUGUA
Molecule: ribosomal RNA, 383 nt
Filed under: uncultured bacterium
Lineage: Bacteria
Description: bacterial SSU rRNA
Rfam family: Bacterial small subunit ribosomal RNA
Source: RNAcentral